ACAUCCCGAAACUAAGCGAGCUACUCUAAAACAGCUUACAGCGCCAACUCAUCCCUGUUGCAAUAGGGUGAGAAGAUUCUAGAGUAGAGGUGACACACCUACCGAGCCUGGAGAUAGCUGGUUAUUCAAAAGACGGAUCUAAGUCCAACUUUAAGUUUUCCCAGUUCAUCAGACAAUCCUCAAACUUAAAAGCCAUUCAAAUAAGGUACAGCCUAUUUGAACAAGGAGACAACCUAUAAUACAGGGUAAUAUCUGCCGGUAUGAUUAAGUAGGCCUAAAAGCAGCCACCUUUCAAAAAGCGUCCAAGCUUCACCAUUAACUAUCCCUAAUUCCAUCAUCAAUCAACAACCCCCCUCCCCCACUGAAUGACCCCAUACACGUAUGGAAGACAUUAUGCUAGAACUAGUAACAAGAAGAAGAACUUCUCCAAAAUGCAAGCAUAAGCCAAAAAUAAACACCUUACUGGCACUCACCGCUAUAAUAGUACACUCUUACAAGAAAACCCUACUAAUUAAAGCGCUAACCUAACACUAGA
This 535-nucleotide ribosomal RNA is filed under the name Stumpffia sp. 30 MV-2012. RNAcentral describes it as "partial 16S ribosomal RNA". The stretch from base 5 to 121 matches the Rfam family "Bacterial large subunit ribosomal RNA", at positions 714 to 852 of the family's 2925-position model. The record is from RNAcentral. Lineage: Eukaryota; Metazoa; Chordata; Amphibia; Anura; Microhylidae.